Molecule: ribosomal RNA, 497 nt
Filed under: uncultured bacterium
Lineage: Bacteria
Description: partial 16S ribosomal RNA
Rfam family: Bacterial small subunit ribosomal RNA
Source: RNAcentral
GAUGAACGCUGGCGGCGUGCCUAAUACAUGCAAGUCGAGCGAACGGACGAGAAGCUUGCUUCUCUGAUGUUAGCGGCGGACGGGUGAGUAACACGUGGAUAACCUACCUAUAAGACUGGGAUAACUUCGGGAAACCGUAGCUAAUACCGGAUAAUAUUUUGAACCGCAUGGUUCAAAAGUGAAAGACGGUCUUGCUGUCACUUAUAGAUGGAUCCGCGCUGCAUUAGCUAGUUGGUAAGGUAACGGCUUACCAAGGCAACGAUGCAUAGCCGACCUGAGAGGGUUAUCGGCCACACUGGAACUGAGACACGGUCCAGACUCCUACGGGAGGCAGCAGUAGGGAAUCUUCCGCAAUGGGCGAAAGCCUGACGGAGCAACGCCGCGUGAGUGAUGAAGGUCUUCGGAUCGUAAAACUCUGUUAUUAGGGAAGACCAUAUGUGUAAGUAACUGUGCACAUCUUGACGGUACCUAAUCAGAAAGCCACGGCUAACUACGUG